CAGUCGCCGCGGUAAAACGGAGGGAGCUAGCGUUAUUCGGAAUUACUGGGCGUAAAGCGCACGUAGGCGGCUUUGUAAGUAAGAGGUGAAAGCCCGGAGCUCAACUCCGGAACUGCCUUUUAGACUGCAUCGCUUGAAUCCAGGAGAGGUGAGUGGAAUUCCGAGUGUAGAGGUGAAAUUCGUAGAUAUUCGGAAGAACACCAGUGGCGAAGGCGACUCUCUGGUCUGUAACUGACGCUGAGGAGCGAAAGCGUGGGGAGCGAACAGGAUUAGAUACCCCCGUAGUCCCUGUCUCUUAUAC
RNAcentral lists this ribosomal RNA (301 nucleotides) under uncultured bacterium. Its description in RNAcentral is "partial 16S ribosomal RNA". It matches the Rfam family "Bacterial small subunit ribosomal RNA", at positions 509 to 807 of the family's 1533-position model. The record is from RNAcentral.